CGGUCUGUCAAGUCGGAUGUGAAAUCCCCGGGCUCAACCUGGGAACUGCAUUCGAAACUGGCAGGCUGGAGUCUUGUAGAGGGGGGUAGAAUUCCAGGUGUAGCGGUGAAAUGCGUAGAGAUCUGGAGGAAUACCGGUGGCGAAGGCGGCCCCCUGGACAAAGACUGACGCUCAGGUGCGAAAGCGUGGGGAGCAAACAGGAUUAGAUACCCUGGUAGUCCACGCUGUAAACGAUGUCGACUUGGAGGUUGUUCCCUUGAGGAGUGGCUUCCGGAGCUAACGCGUUAAGUCGACCGCCUGGGGAGUACGGCCGCAAGGUUAAAACUCAAAUGAAUUGACGGGGGCCCGCACAAGCGGUGGAGCAUGUGGUUUAAUUCGAUGCAACGCGAAGAACCUUACCUACUCUUGACAUCCAGAGAACUUAGCAGAGAUGCUUUGGUGCCUUCGGGAACUCUGAGACAGGUGCUGCAUGGCUGUCGUCAGCUCGUGUUGUGAAAUGUUGGGUUAAGUCCCGCAACGAGCGCAACCCUUAUCCUUUGUUGCCAGCGAUUCGGCCGGGAACUCAAAGGAGACUGCCAGUGAUAAACUGGAGGAAGGUGGGGGAUGACGUCAAGUCAUCAUGGCCCUUACGAGUAGGGCUACACACGUGCUACAAUGGCAUAUACAAAGAGAAGCGACCUCGCGAGAGCAAGCGG
RNAcentral lists this ribosomal RNA (695 nucleotides) under Klebsiella sp. XYL_194. RNAcentral describes it as "bacterial SSU rRNA". It matches the Rfam family "Bacterial small subunit ribosomal RNA", at positions 576 to 1270 of the family's 1533-position model. Lineage: Bacteria; Pseudomonadati; Pseudomonadota; Gammaproteobacteria; Enterobacterales; Enterobacteriaceae. The record is from RNAcentral.